This 600-nucleotide ribosomal RNA is filed under the name uncultured bacterium. RNAcentral's name for it is "bacterial SSU rRNA". It matches the Rfam family "Bacterial small subunit ribosomal RNA", at positions 202 to 804 of the family's 1533-position model. The record is from RNAcentral.
AAAAACUGAGGUGGUAUACGAUGGUUCCGCGUCUGAUUAGCUAGUUGGUGGGGUAAAAGCCUACCAAGGCAACGAUCAGUAGCCGGCCUGAGAGGGUGAACGGCCACAUUGGGACUGAGACACGGCCCAAACUCCUACGGGAGGCAGCAGUGGGGAAUAUUGCACAAUGGGGGAAACCCUGAUGCAGCGACGCCGCGUGAGUGAAGAAGUAUUUCGGUAUGUAAAGCUCUAUCAGCAGGGAAGAAAUACUGACCAUAGGGUCAGCAGACGGUACUUGACUAAGAAGCCCCGGCUAACUACGUGCCAGCAGCCGCGGUAAUACGUAGGGGGCAAGCGUUAUCCGGAUUUACUGGGUGUAAAGGGAGCGUAGACGGCAGCGCAAGUCUGAAGUGAAAUGCCAGGGCUUAACCCUGGAACUGCUUUGGAAACUGUGCAGCUAGAGUGCAGGAGAGGUAAGUGGAAUUUCUAGUGUAGCGGUGAAAUGCGUAGAUAUUAGGAGGAACACCAGUGGCGAAGGCGGCUUACUGGACUGUAACUGACGUUGAGGCUCGAAAGCGUGGGGAGCAAACAGGAUUAGAUACCCUGGUAGUCCACGCUGUA